RNAcentral lists this ribosomal RNA (183 nucleotides) under uncultured bacterium. RNAcentral's name for it is "partial 16S ribosomal RNA". It matches the Rfam family "Bacterial small subunit ribosomal RNA", at positions 1317 to 1500 of the family's 1533-position model. The record is from RNAcentral.
UUCAUGAAGCUGGAAUUGCUAGUAAUGGCAGGUCAGCAUACUGCCGUGAAUACGUUCCCGGGCCUUGUACACACCGCCCGUCACACCAUGAAAGUUGGGAAUACCCGAAGCCUGUGAGCUAACUUAUAGAGGCAGCAGUCGAAGGUAGAAUCAAUGAUUGGGGUGAAGUCGUAACAAGGUACC